AAAUAUUUAAAGAGACUAAUAUUAAUACUCAUUUUUUUAUUCAUUUCCUUCAAAAUAUUGAUUUUUGAAGUGAUAGCAACACAUUUAUAAUCAAGGAGGAAAUCAAAUUGAUAGGGAACUUAAUUAUAUAAAAUACAAUGUUUAUCCACAAACAAAGCAUAUCAUGAAUUUGAAUCCUGCAUGCCCAUAUGAGUAUCCUACACCCCUCAUUUUAGUUUGAAAAUAUUAAACUAUCCUUAACGAGUUAGUAUCUCCUUCCUCAACCCUAACACCUCUCUUAUUCAAAAACCAUUCAAUCUGCGACAGUAGCUCCUGCCAUGGGUCCUCUCCCUCCCAUGACAACUCAUGUUCUUCCUAUGACGACUUUGUUCACUCUUUGACAAAUGCGAAGCAUCAUUACAUUAUCCAAAUGACCUGCAACAUACAGAAGUGCCUAGAUAGGCUUUGGGAUGCUUUAGUUUUUAAAGAGAAUGUAGCAUUGCCAUAUGUCUCCUCCCCCUCCCCGCCCCCCCUCCCCCAAAAUGGUUUUAAAUUCUUAAGCUUGUAUAUAUGAUUUACUAUUUAUUUUCGAUUGUAACAUGUUCAGGUAGUUUGCGCAGGUUCAAUUUUCCUGUAUCUCCUUUAAUUCUUUCAUGAGACUUGUUCAAAUUCAGAAAGGUAGUUUUUGUUUUGUAAAAAGCAUAAAAAGUUUCUUAGAUUCUAUUCUAGCAAGUUGUGGCUAAGUUUCAAUGAGUUGUGAUCGAGUUCCUGGUCUUCAUAGAAUCUUUGAUCUCCUACUCCAGUGUCGGGGGAGGUACUUACAAAAAAGACUCUAACGAUCAAGUCAGUUGAGCCCAAGGUGUUCGUGUAUUUGUGUAUGGGGUGAUAAAAAAUGUAUCUUGUUGUGUUUUCUUUGGGUCUAUAUGUACACGUUCAACCUUGAGAAGAUUACAUUGACUAAUUGAUUCUUUAGGCGUCGUGCGUGAUCGUGGAGAACUAGUGGUCGUCACUAGUUGUUAACUCCUUGGCAAGUGUAUCAAUUUAUCAUAGUAAUACUAAAUAGUAAGAUCGAGUAUUGAGUUCACAUGAAUUUUGAUUGUGCUCAAAGUUUGUAUAUACCGAAUUCUAAGCAAAGGAAUGACUAAAAACAAGUAUAUUCAAAGUAAUAGUGCAAAAAUGUAAAAUUCAACAAUAAUAAAGGACGAGA
This 1186-nucleotide long non-coding RNA is filed under the name Glycine max (soybean). Its description in RNAcentral is "long non-coding RNA (GMAX_LNC002142)". Lineage: Eukaryota; Viridiplantae; Streptophyta; Magnoliopsida; Fabales; Fabaceae. The record is from RNAcentral.